CCUACGGGUGGCUGCAGUGGGGAAUAUUGCACACUGGGGGAAACCCUGAUGCAGCGACACCGCGUGAGUGAAGAAGUAAUUCGUUACGUAAAGCUCUAUCAGCAGGGAAGAAAAUGACGGUACCUGAGUAAGAAGCCCCGGCUAACUACGUGCCAACAGCCGCGGUACUACGGAGGGGGCAAGCGUUAUCCGGAUUUACUGGGUGUAAAGGGAGCGUAGACGGUGCGCCAGGUCUGGAGUGAAAUGCCGCGGCUUAAAUGCGGAACUGCUUUGGAAACUGGCGAACUAGAGUGCGGGAGGGGUAAGCGGAAGUCCUAGUGGAGCGGUGAAAUGCGUAGAUAUGAGGAGGAACACCGGUGGCGAAGGCGGCUUACUGGACCGUAACUGACGUUGAGGCUCGAAGGCGUGGGGAGCAAACAGGAGUAGAUACCCGAGUAGUC
RNAcentral lists this ribosomal RNA (440 nucleotides) under uncultured bacterium. RNAcentral describes it as "partial 16S ribosomal RNA". It matches the Rfam family "Bacterial small subunit ribosomal RNA", at positions 338 to 795 of the family's 1533-position model. The record is from RNAcentral.